This 497-nucleotide ribosomal RNA is filed under the name uncultured bacterium. Its description in RNAcentral is "partial 16S ribosomal RNA". It matches the Rfam family "Bacterial small subunit ribosomal RNA", at positions 28 to 507 of the family's 1533-position model. The record is from RNAcentral.
GAUGAACGCUGGCGGCGUGCCUAAUACAUGCAAGUCGAGCGAACGGACGAGAAGCUUGCUUCUCUGAUGUUAGCGGCGGACGGGUGAGUAACACGUGGAUAACCUACCUAUAAGACUGGGAUAACUUCGGGAAACCGGAGCUCAUCCCGGAUAAUCUUUUGAACUGCACGGUUCAAAAGUGAAAGACGCCCUUGCUGUCACUCUUACAUGGAUCCGAGCUGCAUUAGCUAGUUGGUAAGGUAACGGCUUACCAAGGCAACGAUGCAUAGCCGACCUGAGAGGGUGAUCGGCCACACUGGAACUGAGACACGGUCCAGACUCCUACGGGAGGCAGCAGUAGGGAAUCUUCCGCAAAGGGCGAAAGCCUGACGGAGCAACGCCGCGUGAGUGAUGAAGGUCUUCGGAUCGUAAAACUCUGUUAUUAGGGAAGAACAUAUGUGUAAGUAACUGUGCACAUCUUGACGGUACCUAAUCAGAAAGCCACGGCUAACUACGUG